Molecule: ribosomal RNA, 409 nt
Filed under: Fusobacteriota bacterium
Lineage: Bacteria; Fusobacteriati; Fusobacteriota
Description: Fusobacteria bacterium partial 16S ribosomal RNA
Rfam family: Bacterial small subunit ribosomal RNA
Source: RNAcentral
UGGGGAAUAUUGCACAAUGGAGGGAACUCUGAUGCAGCAACGCCGCGUGCGGGAUGACGGCCUUCGGGUUGUAAACCGCUUUCAGCCAUGACGAAGCUUUUGUGACGGUAGUGGUAGAAGAAGCACCGGCUAACUACGUGCCAGCAGCCGCGGUGAUACGUAGGGUGCGAGCGUUGUCCGGAAUUAUUGGGCGUAAAGAGCUUGUAGGCGGUUUGUCGCGUCGAAAGUGUAAACUCAGUGCUUAACGCUGAGCCUGCUUUCGAUACGGGCUGACUAGAGGAGGGUAGGGGAGAAUGGAAUUCCCGGUGGAGCGGUGGAAUGCGCAGAUAUCGAGAGGAACACCAGUGGCGAAGGCGGUUCUCUGGACCUUUCCUGACGCUGAGAAGCGAAAGCGUGGGUAGCAAACAGG